UACGUAGGGUGCAAGCGUUAAUCGGAAUUACUGGGCGUAAAGCGUGCGCAGGCGGUUAUGCAAGACAGAUGUGAAAUCCCCGGGCUCAACCUGGGAACUGCAUUUGUGACUGUAUAGCUAGAGUACGGUAGAGGGAGGUAGAAUUUCCUGUGUAGCGGUGAAAUGCGUAGAUAUAGGAAGGAAUACCAGUGGCGAAGGCGGCCUCCUGGAUCGAUACUGACGCUGAGGCGCGAAAGCGUGGGGAGCAAACAGG
Molecule: ribosomal RNA, 253 nt
Filed under: uncultured bacterium
Lineage: Bacteria
Description: partial 16S ribosomal RNA
Rfam family: Bacterial small subunit ribosomal RNA
Source: RNAcentral